CAGCGCUCCGUGGAGAGUGCGAGGGCCUGUUCAGGAGGAGGCAGAGGCAGCCUUCAGAGCCAGGUUUUCCUCCCUCCACGGGUGGAUGGAGAGGGUAGGGCAGAUGCCCCAGGUGGGGUAGGCAGUGGCCAUUUUCAUCCCAUGGCAUCCAUGUGGUCAGCCCUGUGGCCUGAUGGGAGGCCAGACCAGAAGAAUGGGGACCUCAGUGUCUGCCUCUAUCUCCCCAAAAAGCUCCUGUGGUCAUUCCGACUCAAUUUGGCUAAUUUGGUUGUUGGCAGAGGGACAGGACAGCUGGCUCAGGACCUGCUGAUUAUAGCUGCUCGAGUAUUUGAACAGAGGUAUUGAGUCCCUCAUGUCAUGGUUUUUUCUUGCAGAUAAACUAACCGUUUAACCUUUGUUCUGAGCGCCGGCGGACCCGCUGUUAAUUGCCCUGGCCCCCUCUGUCUCCACCAACCUGCCCCCCAGGGGGGAGGUCACAUGAGGACCCCCCCAACUCUUACCUUUGAUGAAAGUGUUCAGCGGAUCUGGUCCUGUUGCGUCAGCCGGAAGGUGGCUUCUUUCUAAAAAGUUAUUAGAUAAAUUCAUUUCUUUAAUGAUGGAAGUCCAGGCUUGGGUGCGUGCGCGCAUCGUCCGCAGUAGCAAUCAAUCGGACACACCCGCAGCCUUCCCCUGUUUUUCCCACAGGACUCCAUCCCAAGGUGCCUUUUCCCACGUUGCUGCAUUCGGGUGCCCCCGUGAUAUUUCUUUGUACUGUGUGCCAGGCACUGUUUUAGUUCUUUUAAUCCUUAUAUCAACAUGUGUGUUACUUUUAUUACCUCAUUUUUCAGAAGGGGAAGCUAAGGCCCAGGGACAAACCUCAAACCACUCUUGGGUCCGACCUCACAUCUCUAAUGGGGACUGACCAAGGCGGCCCCUCCUUCAGGCCUCAGGGCCAGCAGGUGAACCCUGGUCCUCAUGGUCCUCCAGCCUUUGCCCUCUGACUCCUGAGCUCUGGACAAGCCCCCGCUUCCUGCCAGAGCCUCAUUUUGCUUCUCCAGCAAAUGCACAUAGGAAUUCCUCUGAGUCUGGGGCCUGGGCCUCAGGUGCAACCGCAAGUGGAUCUCUUAGCUCCCUGAGCUCCGGCUCCACCAGCAAUUGUGAGUGGCAUCUUCCCAGGUGGUGGUCUGUCCUUCACCUGGGACCCCUGUCGUGAGGACUUCAGUAAUAUUUUGUCUUGCCCCUGGUGUCAAUCUGCACUUGCCCUUCCCUCGUUUAGCACACAGUAGGGCUGUUGGCAGCAGGUGAGGCCUGAGGCAACAGCUCGGUGGCCAACAGCCCCGUGAGCACUUUCUCUUCUCCCCUCCCAGGUGGCGUGGAGGUGCAUCGGCGGCUUCCUACCGGGAAGGAAGCAGAUGCCUGGCCCAGGAUCAAAUCAAAGGUCUGGAAAAUGAUCUUUUUUUUCCCCUGAUUUGUAAAUUCGACAAUUUGUAAAUGUGUAGACUCCUCAGAAUGGAACUAACUUGAGCCCUUCGUUCCCCAGCCGAGGCUCACUGCCCCCCGGAUGGGCAGUGAGUCGGUGGGUUCCUGAGGCCAGGGAGCAGCCCAGCCCUGCCCCUCGGGAUGACACACCUUCCCAGAGGGGUGUGGCGCCCUCCCAGGCUGACCUCCCAGCAGACCAGGUAGCCUUCCGGAGGAGCGGAUGUCUUCACGUUGAAUUACCCCAGCCCGGAGGUGAGUGCAGUGUCCCUGGCUCCCGUGUUGCCUGCUUCUGAUGUUCCCUAACUGAAACCUGCCUCAUGUUCCUCCCUGGGCCGAUGGGCAGUUUCAGAGGACAGAGCUGUCUGCUCUGCGGCGCUGGUUGGCGUGUUCCAAACACUGUCCAGAUUCUUGCCUCUGCUUUCAAGGGGCGCUGGGACUCUAGAAACUGAGAGGACUUUGAGAAGUUAGUGGCUUGUCCCAGAUCGGCUAGGAGGUGGGACCCGGGAUUCCAACCCAGAAUGAAGGCCCCAGAGUCGGUCUAAUAAUACUCUGUUGGUGAUGAUCUUGGCUGUGACCUCUGCGGGAAAUGAGCCAUGGACCAAGCAGUGAUGAAUGCUCUAGAGCUGAUUAGCCAUUUUAUAAUGAUGAAUGGCUUCCCUCUGUGGGUAAGGAGCAUGGAGGCUGAUGUGAGUGACAGAGUUCUUGUUCUUGGUUUGGAUCCUUUGCUCAUGGAUGUUGACUGUAUAACCAAGAAACCAAUGGCUCCAUAUUUUGAUAAUAUCACAGGAGGCCAUGUGUGAACCAGCGAUGAGAGUGAUACGAACCAAGGAUUACGAUGAAUCCAAUUCAACACAACUUAAUCCUAUUAAAAAUACACUAUGGCCAUUUUAUUUAUGUUAUUCGCAUUUUAAUGUUCCAUAUUAAUUUUAUACCACUCUUGAUUUAAACAUUCCUCCAUUGAUAAAGAUUUAUGCUUGAGAGGGUAGCCCAUAGGAAGAUGGACAGAUAUUCUCAAUGUUCUAUUGUGGGAGAAGAUGGUGGGUUCAUAGUGGUUCAUUGAAUCAUCUUUGAAAUAUAGACGAAUUAAAAGAAAGAGGGCUAAGAACAGGCCAGUGAUGAGUGUGCGAGUGCUAUGGAGCAAGACUGUUGAUUGACUCAUGUUAUUGAUCAUUACAGAAAGACAUCUAGUGUAUUAUUUCUGUGGGAAAUUAUGCACAUGUGUUGUCCAGUACAGUGGCAACUAGCCACAGGUAGCUACUGUGCAUCUGGAAUGUGGCUGGUCUGAAUUGAUAUGUGAUCUAUGUGGAAAAUACACACCAAAUUUGGAAGAGUCAGAACAAAAAAUAAAAUAUUUCGUUAAUAGUUUAUAUUUAUUACAUGUUGAAAUGGAUAGUAUUUUAGAUAUAUUGGGUUAAAUAAAAUAUACAAUUGUAAUUGAUUUCACCUGUUUCUUUUUACUUUUAAAAAGUGUAGAUUCUAGAAAACUUAAAGUAUAUGAGUGGUGGGGCCGGCCCCAUGGUGUAGUGGUUAAGUUCAGUGUGCUCUGCUUCAGUGGCCCAAGAUGUGGGUUCAGAUCCUGGGUGCAGACUUACAUCACUUGCCAGCCAUGCUGUGGCGGUGACCCACAUAUAAAGUGGAGGAAGAUUGGCACAGAUGUUAGUUCAGGGCUAAUCUUCCUCAGCCAAAAAAAAAAAUAUAUAUAGAUAGAUAGAUAUCUAUCUAUCUAUCUAUAUAUAUAAGUGGCUUACAUUAUAUUUUUAUUGGCCAGCACAGCUAUAGACCAAUGAUAGGAAUAGUCAAGGAUCUUUUCCUUUGUGUUUUUCUGACCUAUGGGUGUUGAUAGCAUUUUUAUUAGCCAAUUAAUGGAUCAAUCAAUUAAAAGGGAAUGAAUAGGAAAAAGCAUACACUAAAUAUUAAGGUAUAUAUUGAAACAAGGAUUACUUUAAACAUUUUUUGAAACCUUGAAACCUGUAAAAAUAAUUUAAAGUGGUUAAUCCCUUUGGGUAAUGAACAUAUGAACAGAUGUGUGUAGUAAUCAAUGCUGUUGGUGUGUCGCUAGUCUUUUUUUCUUUUUUAAGAAAAUAAUCCACAUGGACAAAUCUCUAAUUAAAUAACUAAAUAGAAAAGAGUCAAGGAUGGCAAGUGCUGGGUGAGGACAGCAUAGAGGGCAAAGCUGUUGGUUGAUGCCUAUGGGCACCACUGAAAUCCACUGCAAACACUAUUAGUCUCAGUUCUGGGGAAAAUGAGCCUGUAGCCAGGGGUUAGGAACAUGAUGGGGUCCUAAUUGAGGCAUUUGAGGCUCAUGAAUUUUGAUUACCUUGUUGUGUAAAUGAAUCAAUGCAUAAAUUAAACAAAUGUAUAAAUGAAUGAAAAAAACAAAGGCAAGUGUGGACCAAUGAUAAGUGUAUAUAAUGAAGCAAGAAUUAUUAUUAAUAUGUUUUUGAAGCAAUGAAGUCCAUUUAAAAAAAAGGGCACUGAUGUCAAUUUCUAAGAAAGGGCAGAUUCUUAGAUAUUCUCAUAAUAGAUGUUUACGUAAAUAGGAAAAUUGAGGAGGACCAAUGUUAACAUUGUGUGAGAUGAUAAGAAUUAUAAUUAAUCCAGUUUAUUCCUUGAGUUCGUUAAACAGCAACAAAUAUCUAGUUGGUUAUCUCUGUAGAUAAUGAACAGGUUGACAGAUGUUAGUUUUAUUUAGAGUUUUUGACCAUUUGCUUCGGAUUCCAAGCUACAGAUUGUCAGGGAAUGAAUGAAUAAAUUUAUGUCACAGUCCGUUAGUUAAAAGGGGGCAAAUCAGUGACCAUCUGAUGAACAUAAGUUACAAAGCAAGUAUUAGGAUAAGUUCAGUCUUCGUUGCUGAUGUCCAUGAAGAGGACAUAAAGUCUAGGCUCCAACCUAUUUGUUUAAAGUUCACAGGUAGAUUCGUGUUAAGUUUUUGCGGAUAGUAGAUUUACUUUUUUUUUUGCCAAGGAAGAUUUGCCCUGAGCUAACAUCUUGCUAAUCUUCCUCUGUUUUGUAUGUGGGGUGCUGCCACAGCAUGGCUGCUGAUGGUCGUAUGGGUCUGCACCCGAGAUCUGAACCCAGGCUGCUGAAGCAGAGUGCACCAAACUUAACUACCCUGUGAGGCUGGCCCCUGGAUUUACUCUCGUUAAUUAUCUUCUAAGCAAUAGAUACAGGAUUAAAUUAAUUUGUAACUAAUCAAAUUAAAUAAUAAAUAAGCACAUAGAUAAAUACAUAAAGAGAGUCAAGAAUGAACACUGGAAAAAUGUGCCGUGAAACAAUUUUAGAUUAAUCCAACUUGGAACAAGUGAGGUCCAUCAAAGAAGGAAAAGAUGAAAGAAGGUACUUUAUUCAUUUUACAGUUGUUUAAUAUUUCGUUUUUCACCGCUGCUGAUUUACACAUUCCACCAGUGAUAAAGAUGUAGAUUUCUCACCUGUUGAGAGAGAAAACACAAGGAAAGAUGGAAGAUAGGGAAGUAAAUGAGACGUUCCUGGAUUUUCUUUGUUACGUGUUUAAAAUUUGAACAAAUUAAAGAAAGACUAAAGAACAGGGCCAAGCAUGGCUAUAAUGAGUGCGGGUUUGGAUAAAGAAUGUUGGCUGAUCCAUGUGUGCAGCAGUGAGGUCCACUGCGGUAAGAGGUCUCAUGUAUUCGUUCUGGGAGAAAUUUGCCAAAAGUCGGAAGUUAGUAAUAUUCUUGUAUCUUAUUCUUGCUUUGUUGUGAUUAAUGGAUAUUAAGUAAUUAUUAGUCAAUUAAUGCAUGAACUAAUGCACAAAUGUGUAAGUGAAUAAAGAAAAAAGUCCCAAGCCUGGAUCAAUGAUGAGUACCCUGGGGUGUCUGAACCAAGGAUUUUGAUUAAAAUCUGUAACUCUGACGUCCACUCUAAAAAUGAAUCUAAUUUCCUACCUUAAUGGGGCAUGAGCUUGUAGCUCCAGUUAGGAAUGCAGGCAUCUUGCUUUUGGCUUUGGUAGAUCUUAGGUAUGGAUCCUUUUAUUAGUGAACUAGGGCAUGAGUUAACAAGGAAACCUAUCAGUGAAUGCAGACAAAGCGGCCUGGAUAAGCUCUAAUUAUGAGAGUACGUAAUGAGAUAGGAAUUGUUAUUAGCACAGUGCUGAGGAGCCGAGGUCCAGUAUGCGAAGAGUGCAAGGCUUUUUCUGUGUCGAUUAGGAACGUGUGGGCAGAUGUAGGUAAGAGUCAGUGUUGUUUCUCGGUUGAUGGUUGUUAACUGUAUUAAGAAUUUUAUUAAGAAAAGGGGAAAAAGGAGAAACAUAACAAUCAAUUACAGAACUACCUAAUUAAAGACCAAGCAUGGGCCAAUGUUAAGAAUGCGUUAUAUGAGAGGAGUUACGAUUAAAUAAGUGCUCCUCAGUUAGCAUCGUUUUUGAAAAACACAUCUAGUUGUUUUUCUGUGGGCAUUGAGUUUAUGGGCAGAAGUUAGUGUUAUUUAGGACUCUUGCCCAGGGUAUGCUGGUUCACGAAUAUCGAUGAAGUGAAUGAAGGAAGUGAUUAUUUAAAGGAGGACAAACAUGGACCACUGAGGAUAGACUAUGUUGUUAAAAAAAGUUUAUUAAUCUCACUCUGCUCUUCUGAUGUCCAUAUAAAUAAAGGGGGACUGGGAUUCUGUGUGCUCUGGGUGAAGUGCAUCGAGACAGUUCCCUGUAGUUGUAUUUUAGACCAGUUUGCGUUUGAUUUGAAAAGAAUGAAAAUAUGAACAAGUUAUUGCAUGAGUAGAUAAAUACAAAACAAAUGAAAAAAUUUGUAAAGUAGGGUCAAGCAUGGAUCAUUGGUGAGACUAUGUCAAGACAGAAGGAUGUCAAUUUAUCCAAUUCUAAUCAAGGAAGACCCAUAAAGAAGAUGAUCUGGGCUCUUACCGCUGGAAGGUUUAAUGGACAGUUGGAACAGGCGUACUUCUCAGUUCCUCUGCUAGCAUGUAUAUCCAGCAACUGUCAUCAUAUCACAUUAAUUAACAUACAUUAACAUACAUUAAUAAUUAAAAUAAGUAAAAAGGGGACCAUUCUUAGGCUAAUGGAAUGGGAUGAAAACAGGGGUUUAUGAUAAAUCUGGUACAGCAGGACUAAGGUCUCUUAAAAAAAACUAAAUCUACACUGCUUUUUCAAUUUUCUAAAAUCUACUUUUUACUCCACAG
This 6597-nucleotide long non-coding RNA is filed under the name Equus asinus (donkey). RNAcentral describes it as "lncRNA (ENSEASG00005027442.1)". The stretch from base 1721 to 1831 matches the Rfam family "Maternally expressed 8 exon 2". Lineage: Eukaryota; Metazoa; Chordata; Mammalia; Perissodactyla; Equidae. The record is from RNAcentral.